UUGCUUCUCUUGAGAGCGGCGGACGGGUGAGUAAUGCCUAGGAAUCUGCCUGGUAGUGGGGGAUAACGUCCGGAAACGGACGCUAAUACCGCAUACGUCCUACGGGAGAAAGCAGGGGACCUUCGGGCCUUGCGCUAUCAGAUGAGCCUAGGUCGGAUUAGCUAGUUGGUGGGGUAAUGGCUCACCAAGGCGACGAUCCGUAACUGGUCUGAGAGGAUGAUCAGUCACACUGGAACUGAGACACGGUCCAGACUCCUACGGGAGGCAGCAGUGGGGAAUAUUGGACAAUGGGCGAAAGCCUGAUCCAGCCAUGCCGCGUGUGUGAAGAAGGUCUUCGGAUUGUAAAGCACUUUAAGUUGGGAGGAAGGGCAGUAAAUUAAUACUUUGCUGUUUUGACGUUACCGACAGAAUAAGCACCGGCUAACUCUGUGCCAGCAGCCGCGGUAAUACAGAGGGUGCAAGCGUUAAUCGGAAUUACUGGGCGUAAAGCGCGCGUAGGUGGUUCGUUAAGUUGGAUGUGAAAUCCCCGGGCUCAACCUGGGAACUGCAUUCAAAACUGACGAGCUAGAGUAUGGUAGAGGGUGGUGGAAUUUCCUGUGUAGCGGUGAAAUGCGUAGAUAUAGGA
This 625-nucleotide ribosomal RNA is filed under the name uncultured bacterium. Its description in RNAcentral is "bacterial SSU rRNA". It matches the Rfam family "Bacterial small subunit ribosomal RNA", at positions 80 to 701 of the family's 1533-position model. The record is from RNAcentral.